AUGCAAGUCGGACGGCAUGGAGAAGCUUGCUUCUCCAGAGAGUGGCGGACUGGUGAGUAACACGUGGGUGACCUACCCUCAAGUUGGGGAUAGCCAUUAGAAAUAGUGGAUAAUACCGAAUACGAUCACGACACUGUGGUGAUGUGAUGAAAGGGGCUACGGCUCCGCUUAAGGAUGGGCCCGCGUCCCAUUAGCUAGUUGGUGAGGUAAAGGCCCACCAAGGCGACGAUGGGUAUCCGGCCUGAGAGGGUGUACGGACACAUUGGGACUGAGAUACGGCCCAAACUCCUACGGGAGGCAGCAGCUAAGAAUCUUCCGCAAUGGGCGAAAGCCUGACGGAGCGACGCCGCGUGAACGAUGAAGGCCGUGAGGUUGUAAAGUUCUUUUCGGGAGGAGGAAUAAGCGGGGCAGGAAAUGGCCUUGCGAUGACGUGAAUCCCGGAAUAAGCCCCGGCUAACUACGUGCCAGCAGCCGCGGUAACACGUAGGGGGCGAGCGUUGUUCGGAAUCAUUGGGCGUAAAGGGCGUGCAGGCGGCCCUGCAAGUCCGGCGUGAAAUGCCCCGGCUCAACCGGGGAGACGCGCUGGAAACUGCGGGGCUGGAGUACAGGAGGGGAUGCCGGAAUUCCAGGUGUAGGGGUGAAAUCUGUAGAUAUCUGGAGGAACACCAAUGGCGAAGGCAGGCAUCUGGCCAUGUACUGACGCUGAGACGCGAAGGUGCGG
This 721-nucleotide ribosomal RNA is filed under the name uncultured bacterium. Its description in RNAcentral is "bacterial SSU rRNA". It matches the Rfam family "Bacterial small subunit ribosomal RNA", at positions 55 to 764 of the family's 1533-position model. The record is from RNAcentral.